GGGAAAGAUGCCGCUGCUAGAUCCUCCACACUCUCUCUCCCUUGACGUGAAUCCCCAUAUUAUCCCCAUGAAUUUCAGCCUCAACUCUCUAAUCCCCCUCUGUGUGUGUGUUCUUUUGGCUUGCAGGUCAAACCCUAUUGGGGAUGUGAUUUCCCUGCUCCUGAUUGAAGUGGUUGGCGUUGGGCGCCGCCGUGAUGCUGGAUGGUGCAGGUCAGAGCUCCAGUGCGUGUCCGUGGAGCAGAUCCACCAUGGGUGCAGGGGAAUGGAAAUGCUACUGAGAAGAAGAAGAGAGCUUGGUCUGGCUAUUUGGAAGCAGAGUGAAGAAUGUGCUACGGUGAAACCUUAGCCAGAACCGAAUGGUCCUUGUCCUGAGCUUGCGGUCUUCAACUUCUAAGAUCUUCAAUGGUCGUUCUUCAUACGUCAGGGUCUUUUGGAGAUGGGUGAUGCCCCAGGCAUUAAAACAAUGCUGAACUCUGACUCCCUAUCA
Molecule: long non-coding RNA, 487 nt
Organism: Triticum dicoccoides
Lineage: Eukaryota; Viridiplantae; Streptophyta; Magnoliopsida; Poales; Poaceae
Exons: 4
Source: RefSeq, a predicted model, not a curated record